AAUCUUGGACAAUGGGCGCAAGCCUGAUCCAGCCAUGCCGCGUGAGCGAAGAAGGCCCUAGGGUCGUAAAACUCUUUCAGCUGUGAAGAUAAUGACGGUAGCAGCAGAAGAAACCCCGGCUAACUCCGUGCCAGCAGCCGCGGUAAUACGGAGGGGGUUAGCGUUGUUCGGAAUUACUGGGCGUAAAGCGCGCGUAGGCGGGCUAGUAAGUCAGGGGUGAAAUCCCGGGGCUCAACCCCGGAACUGCCUUUGAUACUGCUAGUCUUGAGUUCGAGAGAGGUGAGUGGAAUUCCGAGUGUAGAGGUGAAAUUCGUAGAUAUUCGGAGGAACACCAGUGGCGAAGGCGGCUCACUGGCUCGACACUGACGCUGAGGUGCGAAAGCGUGGGUAGCAAACAGGAUUAGAUACCCUGGUAGUCCACGCCGUA
Molecule: ribosomal RNA, 427 nt
Filed under: uncultured marine bacterium
Lineage: Bacteria
Description: bacterial SSU rRNA
Rfam family: Bacterial small subunit ribosomal RNA
Source: RNAcentral